RNAcentral lists this ribosomal RNA (482 nucleotides) under Lichtheimia corymbifera. Its description in RNAcentral is "eukaryotic LSU rRNA". The stretch from base 53 to 206 matches the Rfam family "5.8S ribosomal RNA". The record is from RNAcentral. Lineage: Eukaryota; Fungi; Mucoromycota; Mucoromycetes; Mucorales; Lichtheimiaceae.
AAAAAAGUUAUUUGUUAACUUGAAGGCUUCUGUAAAAAGAGUCUUUAAAAACAACUCUUGGCAAUGGAUCUCUUGGUUCUCGCAUCGAUGAAGAGCGUAGCAAAGUGCGAUAAUUAUUGCGACUUGCAUUCAUAGUGAAUCAUCGAGUUCUUGAACGCAUCUUGCGCCUAGUAGUCAAUCUACUAGGCACAGUUGUUUCAGUAUCUGCAUCCACCAAUCAACUUAACCUCUUUGUGUUGAGUUGGAACUGGGCUUCUAGUUGAUGGCAUUUAGUUGCUGUCAUGGCCUUAAAUCAAUGUCCUAGGUGUUAGAACAUCUAACACCGGAUGGAAACUUUAGAGCGCUUUAAGAGCAGCUUGGUUAGUGAGUUCAAUAAUUCCAAGCAUUAAGUCUUUUAAUGAACUAGCUUUUCUAUCCUAUGGGACACUACUUGGAGAAAUCCCAAGUAACCUUUAAACUCACAUUUAGAUCUGAAAUCAACU